This 490-nucleotide ribosomal RNA is filed under the name uncultured soil bacterium. RNAcentral describes it as "bacterial SSU rRNA". It matches the Rfam family "Bacterial small subunit ribosomal RNA", at positions 26 to 507 of the family's 1533-position model. The record is from RNAcentral.
AGAUUGAACGCUGGCGGCAGGCCUAACACAUGCAAGUCGAGCGGCAGCACGGGUACUUGUACCUGGUGGCGAGCGGCGGACGGGUGAGUAAUGCCUAGGAAUCUGCCUGGUAGUGGGGGAUAACGCUCGGAAACGGACGCUAAUACCGCAUACGUCCUACGGGAGAAAGCAGGGGACCUUCGGGCCUUGCGCUAUCAGAUGAGCCUAGGUCGGAUUAGCUAGUUGGUGAGGUAAUGGCUCACCAAGGCGACGAUCCGUAACUGGUCUGAGAGGAUGAUCAGUCACACUGGAACUGAGACACGGUCCAGACUCCUACGGGAGGCAGCAGUGGGGAAUAUUGGACAAUGGGCGAAAGCCUGAUCCAGCCAUGCCGCGUGUGUGAAAGAAGGUCUUCGGAUUGUAAAAGCACUUUAAGUUGGAGGAAGGCAGUUACCUAAUACGUAUCUGUUUGACGUUACCGACAAGAAUAAGCAACCGGCUAAACUCUGUG